ACUCAAAUGAAUUGACGGGGGCCCGCACAAGCGGUGGAGCAUGUUGUUUAAUACGUCACUAACCGUAGAACCUUACCAGGGCUUGACAUCCGUUGCCCGCCGGUGAAAGCCGGUUUUCCUCGCAAGAGGACAACGUGACAGGUGUUGCAUGGCUGUCGUCAGCUCGUGUCGUGAGAUGUUGGGUUAAGUCCCGCAACGAGCGCAACCCUCACUCCAUGUUGCCAGCGGUUAAAGCCGGGAACUCUUGGAGAACUGCCCGGGUAACCGGGAGGAAGGUGGGGAUGACGUCAAGUCAGCAUGGCCCUUACGCCCUGGGCUACAAACAUGCUACAAUGGACGGUAUACAAAGGGAACCGAUACCGCGAGGUGGAGGCAAUCUCAAAAAUCCGUUCUCAGUUCGGAUCGCAGGCUGCAACUCGCCUGCGUGAAGUUGGAAUCGCUAGUAACCGCAGAUCAGCUAAGCUGCGGUGAAUACGUUCCCGGGCCUUGCACACACCGCCCGU
RNAcentral lists this ribosomal RNA (503 nucleotides) under uncultured bacterium. RNAcentral describes it as "partial 16S ribosomal RNA". It matches the Rfam family "Bacterial small subunit ribosomal RNA", at positions 899 to 1397 of the family's 1533-position model. The record is from RNAcentral.